This is a non-coding RNA of Echinostoma caproni, 35 nucleotides long. The record is from Rfam. NCBI's taxonomy places the organism in Eukaryota, Metazoa, Platyhelminthes, Trematoda, Plagiorchiida, Echinostomatidae.
GCUGACGAGUCCCAAAUAGGACGAAACAGCUGUCC